CAGCAGCCACGGGAAUACGGGGGGGGCAAGUGUUAUUCGGAAUGACUGGGCGUAAAGGGCACGUAGGCGGUGAAAAGGGUGGAAAGUGAAAGUCGCCAAAACACUGGCGGGGUGCUUUCUUGACCAUUUCACUUGAGUGAGAUAGGGGAGAGUGGAAUUUCGUGUGGAGGGAUCAAAUCCUAAGAUAUACGAAGGAACGCCAACCGCGAAGGCAGCUCUCUGGGUCCCCACUGACGCUGGGGUGCGAAAGCAUGGGGAGCAAACAGGAUCAGAUACCCGCGUAGUCCCUGUCUCUUAUACC
This 301-nucleotide ribosomal RNA is filed under the name uncultured bacterium. Its description in RNAcentral is "partial 16S ribosomal RNA". It matches the Rfam family "Bacterial small subunit ribosomal RNA", at positions 509 to 808 of the family's 1533-position model. The record is from RNAcentral.